UUCGUUGAACGCUCAAAAAUAUUGUGCUUCUUUUGUAUGAGGUUUCUACAUAGAAGACUUUUGAAAAUCGAAAAAAUAGAUAUAAAUCUACUAUUAAUCCUACUCAUAAAAAUAAAUAAAAUAAAAUUAUCCAAAUUAAUUACAAUCCCAAAAAUUAAAAGUUUAGUCAAUCAACCUCCUCCUAGGAAUCUAUUUCAUCCCUUUCCUC
Molecule: long non-coding RNA, 208 nt
Filed under: Gossypium raimondii (Peruvian cotton)
Lineage: Eukaryota; Viridiplantae; Streptophyta; Magnoliopsida; Malvales; Malvaceae
Description: long non-coding RNA (GRAI_LNC002779)
Source: RNAcentral